CGAAGCCGGUGGAGUAACCUUUUAGGAGCUAGCCGUCGAAGGUGGGACAAAUGAUUGGGGUGAAGUCGUAACAAGGUAGCCGUAUCGGAAGGUGCGGCUGGAUCACCUCCUUUCUAAGGAUAUAUUCGGAAC
Molecule: ribosomal RNA, 132 nt
Filed under: Staphylococcus aureus MUF168
Lineage: Bacteria; Bacillati; Bacillota; Bacilli; Caryophanales; Staphylococcaceae
Description: partial 16S ribosomal RNA
Rfam family: Bacterial small subunit ribosomal RNA (bases 1-113)
Source: RNAcentral